CGAACGCUGGCGGCGUGGAUUAGGCAUGCAAGUCGAGCGGUAGAUAUUGAAGCUUGCUUCGAUAUUGAGAGCGGCGAACGGGUGAGGAAUACUUGGGUAAUUUGCCCUAAAGUCUGGAAUAGCUUCGGGAAACUGGAGGUAAUGCCGGAUGUGAUCGUCUGCCACAAGGUAGAUUGUUUAAAGCGUGGGAUCUUCGGACCACGUGCUUUAGGAUAGGCCCGAGUCCUAUCAGCUUGUUGGUGAGGUAAUGGCUCACCAAGGCAAAGACGGGUAGCUGGUCUGAGAGGAUGGUCAGCCACACUGGGACUGAGACACUGCCCAGACUCCUACGGGAGGCUGCAGUCGAGAAUCAUUCACAAUGCACGAAAGUGUGAUGAUGCGACGCCGCGUGAAGGAUGAAGGCCCUAGGGUCGUAAACUUCUGUCAGAAGGAAAGAACGGUCUUUAAGUUAAUAGCUUUUAGAUUUGACGGUACCUUCAGAGGAAGCAACGGCUAACUCUGUGCCAGCAGCCGCGGUAAUACAGAGGUUGCAAGCGUUGUUCGGAUUUACUGGGCGUAAAGGGUGCGUAGGCGGUUUUGUGUGUCAGAUGUGAAAGCCCAUGGCUCAACCAUGGAAUUGCAUUUGAAACUGCAGAACUAGAGUAUCGGAGAGGUAGAUGGAAUUCUUAGUGUAGCGGUGAAAUGCGUAGAUAUUAAGAAGAACACCAGCGGCGAAAGCGAUCUACUGGACGAAUACUGACGCUGAGGCACGAAAGCCAGGGGAGCGAAGAGGAUUAGAUACCCUCGUAGUCCUGGCCAUAAACGGUGUACACUUGGUGUAGGAGGAUUUAACCCCUUCUGUGCCGGAGCAAACGUGUUAAGUGUACCGCCUGGGGAGUACGGUCGCAAGACUAAAACUCAAAGGAAUUGACGGGGGCCCGCACAAGCGGUGGAGCAUGUGGCUUAAUUCGAUGCAACGCGAAGAACCUUACCUGGACUUGACAUGCCCUUCAUACCUGAGUGAAAGCUCGGGGUCAUUUAGUUGGAAGGUGCACAGGUGCUGCAUGGCUGUCGUCAGCUCGUGCCGUGAGGUGUUGGGUUAAGUCCCGCAACGAGCGCAACCCUUGUCUUUAGUUGCCAUCUGGGAGCGAUCCGCAGGGAACUCUAAAGAGACUGCCCCGGUAACGGGGAGGAAGGUGGGGAUGACGUCAAGUCAGUAUGGUCCUUAUGUUCAGGGCUGCACACGUGCUACAAUGGAACGUACAAUGGGAAGCGAACCCGCGAGGGGGAGCCAAUCCUCAAAACGUUCCUCAGUUCGGAUUGGAGUCUGCAACUCGACUCCAUGAAGCUGGAAUCGCUAGUAAAGGGACAUCAGCUACGGUCCCUUGAAUACGUUCCCGGGCCUUGUACACACCGCCCGUCACAUCAUGGAAGCUGUCUGCUCCCGAAGUCACUGUUUCAACCCGUAAGGGAGAUAGGUGCCGAAGGAGUGGGUAGUGACUGGGAUGAAGUCGUAACAAGGUAGCCGUUGGGGAACCAGCGGCUGGAUCACCUCCUUUCUAAGGAGAAUCUGCGAAAGGACUUGAAUCAGAUAUCCUGAUUUAUUGAUGCUUUUCUGCAGAUAGGUUAAACACCAGUUUCAUUACUGGUUGUGUAAUACGGUAACGUAUUACAACGACAACUUACAGGGUUUGUACGGUUUCAUAAGUCGCAUCAUUUCUAGAGCGAAAUAAUUCAACGGCAACUAUCACUUCGGUGAUAUCCCGGUCUCUCAAACAGAUUUUGGGGCCAUAGCUCAGCUGGGAGAGCGCCUGAUUUGCAUUCAGGAGGUCGUCGGUUCGAUCCCGUCUGGCUCCACCAGUUUUUGAUUCAGCCGGGCGCAUAGCUCAGUUGGUUAGAGCGCGUCCCUGAUAAGGACGAGGUCCCAGGUUCGAGUCCUGGUGCGCCCACCAUGCUUCGCCCUUCGGGCUACGCAUGGCACGCCAUUUAGAUUUGAGAUCUAAAACAAAAAAGCAUUACUUGCUACAUCUACUUUCGGUCAUUGAGGUCAACGCGACUUCUUUGCACCACAGUUCUUUGAAAAUUGCAUAGAUAGGGUAUACAAAUUACAACCGAUAAUAAAUCGGGAUAUAAACAAUUAUGGUUAAGUUACAAAAAGCACAAGGUGAAUGCCUUGGCAUCAGAUGGCGAUGAAGGACGUGAUAAGCUGCGAUAAGCUUCGGGUAGUGGCAAAUACACAUUAAUCCGAAGAUCUCCGAAUGGGAAAACCCAGCCAGUAUAAAUAACUGGUUACCUGCACCUGAAUACAUAGGGUGUAUGGAGCAAUACUCAGGGAAGUGAAACAUCUCAGUACCUGAAGGAAAAGAAAACAACCGUGAUUCCCCAAGUAGUGGCGAACGAACGGGGAACAGCCCAAACCAACAC
This 2403-nucleotide ribosomal RNA is filed under the name uncultured bacterium. Its description in RNAcentral is "bacterial SSU rRNA". The stretch from base 1 to 1538 matches the Rfam family "Bacterial small subunit ribosomal RNA". The record is from RNAcentral.